RNAcentral lists this small RNA (253 nucleotides) under Pan troglodytes (chimpanzee). RNAcentral's name for it is "processed transcript". The record is from RNAcentral. Lineage: Eukaryota; Metazoa; Chordata; Mammalia; Primates; Hominidae.
CUCUGUUCCCGGGUCCCUCAGGCGGCCACCCAGUGGGCACACUCCCAGGCGGCACUCCGGCCCCGCGCUCCCUCCCUCUGCCUUUCAUUCCCAGCUGCCAACAUCCUGGAAGCUGAUUCUAAAGUGCAUCUAAGAUUGAAAACCACUGAUUCUAAUAACACAGCAUUGUGGAAUGAUUCGCAGCUGAUUCUAAAGUGCAUUUAACAUUGAAAACCACUGAUUCUAAUAACACAGCAUCGUGGAAUGAAUCAGG